Molecule: ribosomal RNA, 253 nt
Filed under: uncultured bacterium
Lineage: Bacteria
Description: partial 16S ribosomal RNA
Rfam family: Bacterial small subunit ribosomal RNA
Source: RNAcentral
GACGUAGGGCGCGAGCGUUGUCCGGAUUUAUUGGGCGUAAAGAGCUCGUAGGCGGCUUGUCGCGUCGGCUGUGAAAACCCGCGGCUCAACUGUGGGCGGGCAGCUGAUACGGGCAGGCUGGAGUUCGGUAGGGGAGACUGGAAUUCCUGGUGUAGCAGUGAAAUGCGCAGAUAUCAGGAGGAACACCGGUGGCGAAGGCGGGUCUCUGGGCCGAUACUGACGCUGAGGAGCGAAAGCGUGGGGAGCGAACAGG